This 301-nucleotide ribosomal RNA is filed under the name uncultured bacterium. RNAcentral's name for it is "partial 16S ribosomal RNA". It matches the Rfam family "Bacterial small subunit ribosomal RNA", at positions 512 to 808 of the family's 1533-position model. The record is from RNAcentral.
CAUCGCCGCGGGAAUACGUAGGGCGCAAGCGUUAUCCGGAAUUAUUGGGCGUAAAGAGCUCGUAGGCGGUUUGUCGCGUCUGCCGUGAAAGUCCGGGGCUCAACCCCGGAUCUGCGGUGGGUACGGGCAGACUAGAGUGAUGUAGGGGAGACUGGAAUUCCUGGUGUAGCGGUGAAAUGCGCAGAUAUCAGGAGGAACACCGAUGGCGAAGGCAGGUCUCUGGGCAUUAACUGACGCUGAGGAGCGAAAGCAUGGGGAGCGAACAGGAUUAGAUACCCCCGUAGUCCCUGUCUCUUAUACA